RNAcentral lists this ribosomal RNA (253 nucleotides) under uncultured Eubacteriales bacterium. RNAcentral describes it as "uncultured Clostridiales bacterium partial 16S ribosomal RNA". It matches the Rfam family "Bacterial small subunit ribosomal RNA", at positions 524 to 776 of the family's 1533-position model. Lineage: Bacteria; Bacillati; Bacillota; Clostridia; Eubacteriales. The record is from RNAcentral.
UACGUAGGGGGCAAGCGUUAUCCGGAUUUACUGGGUGUAAAGGGAGCGUAGACGGCACUGCAAGUCUGGAGUGAAAGCCCGAGGCCCAACCACGGGACUGCUCUGGAAACUGCCAUGCUAGAGUGCUGGAGAGGUAAGUGGAAUUCCUAGUGUAGCGGUGAAAUGCGUAGAUAUUAGGAGGAACACCAGUGGCGAAGGCGGCUCACUGGACUGUAACUGACGUUGAGGCUCGAAAGCGUGGGGAGCAAACAGG